GUUAAAAAAGCUUUAUUUGAAGCACUGGUCUUGUAAACCAGAGAUUGAAAUUAAAUUUUCUUUUAACA
RNAcentral lists this transfer RNA (68 nucleotides) under Chaetopleura apiculata. Its description in RNAcentral is "tRNA-Thr". It matches the Rfam family "tRNA". From Rfam's summary of the family: Transfer RNA (tRNA) molecules are approximately 80 nucleotides in length. The record is from RNAcentral. Lineage: Eukaryota; Metazoa; Mollusca; Polyplacophora; Chitonida; Chaetopleuridae.